AUGAGCAUAACCGAAAAUAACGACAACAGUAGCAAAACAAACAGACGAUUAUUAAAGAUUCAAGUUGAAAACCAAUGCUUCUGCAUGGCUAUCAUGCAAAUGGUGGUUGUGGCUUGCCUGGGGAUGAAGAAAGCUUCGGGGAGAAGCUCGGAACGACCGCGAAAAGAAUCACUGGAAAGGGUACUCCCUCGGAGGGGGCUGAUUAGGGGCAAGGGCAAAAUCAUCAUUUUUAGAAUGUUGAAACAUAGUGAAAACAGCACCAAAAGUUCGGGCUCGAAGAGACGAAGACGUGAGCGUUGGUUUCACCUCAAUCGGAGUUACGGUUGCGGAGAUAUGAGGUGUGGAAGAUCAGGGACUUUUCUGCAAAAAGAAUAUUCACAUACAGGUCCUUGA
This 393-nucleotide ribosomal RNA is filed under the name Triticum aestivum (bread wheat). Its description in RNAcentral is "partial small subunit ribosomal RNA". The record is from RNAcentral. Lineage: Eukaryota; Viridiplantae; Streptophyta; Magnoliopsida; Poales; Poaceae.